This 471-nucleotide ribosomal RNA is filed under the name uncultured bacterium. RNAcentral describes it as "partial 16S ribosomal RNA". It matches the Rfam family "Bacterial small subunit ribosomal RNA", at positions 28 to 507 of the family's 1533-position model. The record is from RNAcentral.
GACGAACGCUGGCGGCGUGCUUAACACAUGCAAGUCGAACGAUGAAGCGGUGCUUGCACCGUGGAUUAGUGGCGAACGGGUGAGUAAUACGUGAGUGUCCUCCCUUUGACUCUGGGAUAAGCCUGGGAAACUGGGUCUAUUACCGGAUACGACCAAUCUCUGCAUGGGGUGGUGGUGGAAAGGGUUAUGGGGUGGUUUUAGAUGGGCUCACGGCCUAUCAGCUUGUUGGUGAGGUAAUGGCUUACCAAGGCGACGACGGGUAGCCGGCCUGAGAGGGUGACCGGCCACACUGGGACUGAGACACGGCCCAGACUCCUACGGGAGGCAGCAGUGGGGAAUAUUGCACAAUGGGCGCAAGCCUGAUGCAGCGACGCCGCGUGAGGGCUGACGGCCUUCGGGUUGUAAACCUCUGUUAGCAUCGAAGAAGCGAAAGUGACGGUAGGUGCAGAGAAAGCGCCGGCUAACUACGUG